Molecule: ribosomal RNA, 497 nt
Filed under: uncultured bacterium
Lineage: Bacteria
Description: partial 16S ribosomal RNA
Rfam family: Bacterial small subunit ribosomal RNA
Source: RNAcentral
GAUGAACGCUGGCGGCGUGCCUAAUACAUGCCAGUCGAGCGAACAGACGAGGAGCUUGCUCCUUUGACGUUAGCGGCGGACGGGUGAGUAACACGUGGAUAACCUACCUAUAAGACUGGGAUAACUUCGGGAAACCGGAGCUAAUACCGGAUAACAUGUUGAACCGCAUGGUUCAACAGUGAAAGACGGUCUUGCUGUCACUUAUAGAUGGAUCCGCGCCGCAUUAGCUAGUUGGUAAGGUAACGGCUUACCAAGGCAACGAUGCGUAGCCGACCUGAGAGGGUGAUCGGCCACACUGGAACUGAGACACGGUCCAGACUCCUACGGGAGGUAGCAGUAGGGAAUCUUCCGCAAUGGGCGAAAGCCUGACGGAGCAACGCCGCGUGAGUGAAGAAGGUCUUCGGAUCGUAAAACUCUGUUAUUAGGGAAGAACAAAUGUGUAAGUAACUAUGCACGUCUUGACGGUACCUAAUCAGAAAGCCACGGCUAACUACGUG